GCUCCCAUAGCUCAAUUGGCAGAGCAACUGACUCUUAAUCAGUGGGUUAGAGGUUCGAUUCCUCUUGGGAGCA
Molecule: transfer RNA, 73 nt
Filed under: Candidatus Delongbacteria bacterium
Lineage: Bacteria; Candidatus Delongiibacteriota
Description: tRNA-Lys
Rfam family: tRNA
About the family: Transfer RNA (tRNA) molecules are approximately 80 nucleotides in length. Their secondary structure includes four short double-helical elements and three loops (D, anti-codon, and T loops).
Source: RNAcentral